This 82-nucleotide ribosomal RNA is filed under the name Vibrio sp. D421a. RNAcentral describes it as "partial 16S ribosomal RNA". It matches the Rfam family "Bacterial small subunit ribosomal RNA", at positions 1 to 82 of the family's 1533-position model. Lineage: Bacteria; Pseudomonadati; Pseudomonadota; Gammaproteobacteria; Vibrionales; Vibrionaceae. The record is from RNAcentral.
AAAUUGAAGAGUUUGAUCAUGGCUCAGAUUGAACGCUGGCGGCAGGCCUAACACAUGCAAGUCGAGAGGAAACGAGUUAUCU